CCUACGGGUGGCAGCAGUGAGGAAUAUUGGUCAAUGGACGAAAGGCUGAACCAGCCAAGUCGCGUGAAGGAUGACUGCCCUAUGGGUUGUAAACCUCUUUUAUAUGGGAAGAAAAUAUUCUACGUGUAGCAUUAUGUAUGUACCUUAUGAAUAAGCAUCGGCUAACUCCGUGCCAGCAGCCGCGGUAAUACGGAGGAUGCGAGCGUUAUCCGGAUUUAUUGGGUUUAAAGGGUGCGUGGGCGGUUGUUUAAGUUAGUGGUAAAAUGUCGGGGCUAAACCUUGAUUUGCCGUUGAUACUGGAAGACUCGAGUUCAGUAGAGGUAGGCGGAAUUAGUUGUGUAGCGGUGAAAUGCUUAGAUAUAACGUAGAACUCCGAUAGCGAAGGCAGCUUACCGGACUGCGACUGACGCUGAGGCACGAGAGCGUGGGUAGCGAACAGGAUUAGAUACCCGAGUAGUC
RNAcentral lists this ribosomal RNA (459 nucleotides) under uncultured bacterium. RNAcentral describes it as "partial 16S ribosomal RNA". It matches the Rfam family "Bacterial small subunit ribosomal RNA", at positions 338 to 795 of the family's 1533-position model. The record is from RNAcentral.